Molecule: long non-coding RNA, 503 nt
Organism: Aethina tumida (small hive beetle)
Lineage: Eukaryota; Metazoa; Arthropoda; Insecta; Coleoptera; Nitidulidae
Exons: 2
Source: RefSeq, a predicted model, not a curated record
CUGAACAUUUUUGUAGCAGUCGAUAAUUUUAUCUGUCAGUUAGAGUUACAAUUUGUCUACGUCUUCAACUAACAAAAUUAUGGAUCGUUUUGUGAUAGUACAACCAAUCGCCGUCGACCGACUCUUUCUGAUUUAUCACAGGAUUCGAGAAGAGAUUGUUACAAGAUGGUUCACUAUUAAAACAUUUUUUUUUGCAUUGAUUGUCAUGUUGUUGUUGGCCAUGAUUAGACAUCUGGUUGAAUUUAUAUUUGAUACCAUGUUAACUACUGCGCAAGUUGCUAUUGUAACCAUUAUUUUGAAAAGUCUUUUUGCCAUCUUCACUGUCGUUUUUCUAACGUGGUUUGCUUUGGUGUACGUUAACUUUCAUUUAGGUUAAACAAAUAGAUUUGUUUAUUUUAAAAACUUGUAGUAUAAUAAUGUGUUCUGAUUUGUUUUUAAAUGUAUUUUUAUAUAAAACGACACACACUGUGUGCGAUAUUAUUAUAAAAUUAUUAUGACGAUUA